This 236-nucleotide ribosomal RNA is filed under the name uncultured bacterium. RNAcentral describes it as "partial 16S ribosomal RNA". It matches the Rfam family "Bacterial small subunit ribosomal RNA", at positions 524 to 754 of the family's 1533-position model. The record is from RNAcentral.
UACGUAGGGUGCAAGCGUUAAUCGGAAUUACUGGGCGUAAAGCGUGCGCAGGCGGUUUUGUAAGUCUGUCGUGAAAUCCCCGGGCUCAACCUGGGAAUUCGCGAUGGAGACUGCAAGGCUAGAAUCUGGCAGAGGGGGGUAGAAUUCCACGUGUGAGCAGUGAAAUGCGUAGAGAUGUGGAGGAACACCGAUGGCGAAGGCAGCCCCCUGGGUCGAAAGAUUGACGCUCCAUGCAC